UGGGGAAUAUUGGGCAAUGGGCGCAAGCCUGACCCAGCAACGCCGCGUGAAGGAAGAAGGCCCUCGGGUUGUAAACUUCUUUUAUCAGGGACGAAUAGAUGACGGUACCUGAUGAAUAAGCCACGGCUAACUACGUGCCAGCAGCCGCGGUAAUACGUAGGUGGCAAGCGUUAUCCGGAUUUACUGGGUGUAAAGGGCGUGUAGGCGGGACUGCAAGUCAGAUGUGAAAACCAUGGGCUCAACCCAUGGCCUGCAUUUGAAACUGUAGUUCUUGAGUGUUGGAGAGGCAGGCGGAAUUCCGUGUGUAGCGGUGAAAUGCGUAGAUAUACGGAGGAACACCAGUGGCGAAGGCGGCCUGCUGGACAAUAACUGACGCUGAGGCGCGAAAGCGUGGGGAGCAAACAGG
This 406-nucleotide ribosomal RNA is filed under the name uncultured bacterium. Its description in RNAcentral is "bacterial SSU rRNA". It matches the Rfam family "Bacterial small subunit ribosomal RNA", at positions 355 to 776 of the family's 1533-position model. The record is from RNAcentral.